This is a long non-coding RNA of Triticum aestivum (bread wheat), 1175 nucleotides long. RefSeq lists it as uncharacterized. The transcript has 2 exons. The record is from RefSeq and is a predicted model, not a curated record. NCBI's taxonomy places the organism in Eukaryota, Viridiplantae, Streptophyta, Magnoliopsida, Poales, Poaceae.
UCCUCCGGACUGAGAUCCGGUGCCUUGACACACAAAAGGCACAUGUGAAUAGUGCAAUGCCUUGAGCUUUCAGCCGCUAGAUCGGAAAUCAAGGUUCCAGAUUUCAGUGAACAGUACUCCGCGCUACAAUGUGUUAGUCAUGUAGCGAUUGUCCUGUAGCAGACUUCCUGUAGCGAUGCACUGUAGCAGACUUCUCGAUGUUCAUCGGACCGUUGCUUGUAGAUCCAACGGUCAGGAGAUGCCCUCAAGGCACAAUACUGUUCAUCCGUGCCUUGUGUGUGUCAAGGCACCGGAUGUCAGUCCGCUUCCUCCACCUCCAGUCUUCUGGAGCACCAAAGCCACCACGCGAGGCCCCACCAUCCUCACGGAGAUGAGCCCGACGGACCGGAUCCAGCCUCCUCCACCGGGAGCGGCGACAACCUCCACCGAGAUCUGCGUGGGGAGGCCGGAGUUCUCGACGGGCAGGAGCACUCGCCGACGUGCUCCUUCUCCUCGUCUGUCACCUCCGUCGAGAGCCGCGUGACUGUCGGCUUCGAGGGCGCGGUUGCAGCCCAUCCAUGGUGUUCGUCUAGUCCCUUGCGACGGACACCACCAAGUCGGCGAGCGUGGGAUCCACAAGACACCAUGGACUCCCCGUCACAGUCCUGGUGGACCGAUGGAUGAGGCAGCUAGCCCGAGGCGAGCUGGACGAUGUUCCACCAUGGUGUAGACAGCCAACACGCGUGUAGACAGCGCCGUUUCACCAUGGUGUUCGUCGCCGCCGUCAAUGGCCUUCGGCCUCGAUCUGCAUGUUGGCUGGAUACGGCGUGGUGGGGAGGAGGUGAGCUGGUCGUGGUGGGGAGGAGGAGCAGCUGUGGCAAGGAGAGAUUGCCACUGGGAAUGCAAACCGCAAUGGAAUCCAUCCGCAUCGACGUUGUUGAAAUAGAAGUUGGCCCUGCGACAAAAGCACAUCCACGGACCAUGGCGAAAUUUUGCAGACGCUAAACCAGGAGAGUUAUAGCUUUUUUUGUCUAAACUUCUCUCUUUUAUGUUCACGAGACUGGAUGCUAAAUUGUAGAUCUAAUUGUUUUUGUUUUUUCAGAACGCUUACAUCUAAUUGUUUGUACAGGACUUUGCAACUCACCUAACCGAACUUUGAUAUUUACAAUAUUCGAAAACACUUUUAACUUCUGAAA